Molecule: ribosomal RNA, 301 nt
Filed under: uncultured bacterium
Lineage: Bacteria
Description: partial 16S ribosomal RNA
Rfam family: Bacterial small subunit ribosomal RNA
Source: RNAcentral
CAGCAGCCGCGGGAAUACAGAGGAUGCAAGCGUUAUCCGGAAUGAUUGGGCGUAAAGCGUCUGUAGGUGGCUUUUCAAGUCCGCCGUCAAAUCCCAGGGCUCAACCCUGGACAGGCGGUGGAAACUACCAAGCUGGAGUACGGUAGGGGCAGAGGGAAUUUCCGGUGGAGCGGUGAAAUGCGCUGAGAUCGGAAAGAACACCAACGGCGAAGGCACUCUGCUGGGCCGACACUGACACUGAGAGACGAAAGCUAGGGGAGCAAAUGGGAUUAGAGACCCCAGUAGUCCCUGUCUCUUAUAC